Molecule: ribosomal RNA, 1509 nt
Filed under: Helicobacter pylori
Lineage: Bacteria; Pseudomonadati; Campylobacterota; Epsilonproteobacteria; Campylobacterales; Helicobacteraceae
Description: bacterial SSU rRNA
Rfam family: Bacterial small subunit ribosomal RNA
Source: RNAcentral
UUUAUGGAGAGUUUGAUCCUGGCUCAGAGUGAACGCUGGCGGCGUGCCUAAUACAUGCAAGUCGAACGAUGAAGCUUCUAGCUUGCUAGAGUGCUGAUUAGUGGCGCACGGGUGAGUAACGCAUAGGUCAUGUGCCUCUUAGUUUGGGAUAGCCAUUGGAAACGAUGAUUAAUACCAGAUACUCCCUAUGGGGGAAAGAUUUAUCGCUAAGAGAUCAGCCUAUGUCCUAUCAGCUUGUUGGUAAGGUAAUGGCUUACCAAGGCUAUGACGGGUAUCCGGCCUGAGAGGGUGAACGGACACACUGGAACUGAGACACGGUCCAGACUCCUACGGGAGGCAGCAGUAGGGAAUAUUGCUCAAUGGGGGAAACCCUGAAGCAGCAACGCCGCGUGGAGGAUGAAGGUUUUAGGAUUGUAAACUCCUUUUGUUAGAGAAGAUAAUGACGGUAUCUAACGAAUAAGCACCGGCUAACUCCGUGCCAGCAGCCGCGGUAAUACGGAGGGUGCAAGCGUUACUCGGAAUCACUGGGCGUAAAGAGCGCGUAGGCGGGAUAGUCAGUCAGGUGUGAAAUCCUAUGGCUUAACCAUAGAACUGCAUUUGAAACUACUAUUCUAGAGUGUGGGAGAGGUAGGUGGAAUUCUUGGUGUAGGGGUAAAAUCCGUAGAGAUCAAGAGGAAUACUCAUUGCGAAGGCGACCUGCUGGAACAUUACUGACGCUGAUUGCGCGAAAGCGUGGGGAGCAAACAGGAUUAGAUACCCUGGUAGUCCACGCCCUAAACGAUGGAUGCUAGUUGUUGGAGGGCUUAGUCUCUCCAGUAAUGCAGCUAACGCAUUAAGCAUCCCGCCUGGGGAGUACGGUCGCAAGAUUAAAACUCAAAGGAAUAGACGGGGACCCGCACAAGCGGUGGAGCAUGUGGUUUAAUUCGAAGAUACACGAAGAACCUUACCUAGGCUUGACAUUGAGAGAAUCCGCUAGAAAUAGUGGCGUGUCUGGCUUGCCAGACCUUGAAAACAGGUGCUGCACGGCUGUCGUCAGCUCGUGUCGUGAGAUGUUGGGUUAAGUCCCGCAACGAGCGCAACCCCCUUUCUUAGUUGCUAACAGGUUAUGCUGAGAACUCUAAGGAUACUGCCUCCGUAAGGAGGAGGAAGGUGGGGACGACGUCAAGUCAUCAUGGCCCUUACGCCUAGGGCUACACACGUGCUACAAUGGGGUGCACAAAGAGAAGCAAUACUGCGAAGUGGAGCCAAUCUUCAAAACACCUCUCAGUUCGGAUUGUAGGCUGCAACUCGCCUGCAUGAAGCUGGAAUCGCUAGUAAUCGCAAAUCAGCCAUGUUGCGGUGAAUACGUUCCCGGGUCUUGUACUCACCGCCCGUCACACCAUGGGAGUUGUGUUUGCCUUAAGUCAGGAUGCUAAAUUGGCUACUGCCCACGGCACACACAGCGACUGGGGUGAAGUCGUAACAAGGUAACCGUAGGUGAACCUGCGGUUGGAUCACCUCCUUUCUAGA